GACGAACGCUGGCGGCGCGCCUAACACAUGCAAGUCGAGCGAUGAAAUUUUAACCGCUCUCUUCGGAGAGAAGAUAAAAUGGAUUAGCGGCGGACGGGUGAGUAACACGUGAGAAACCUGCCUUUCACAAGGGGAUAGCCUCGGGAAACCGGGAUAAAUACCCUAUGACACAUUUCCUUCGCAUGGAAGAAAUGUUAAAACUCCGGUGGUGAAAGAUGGUCUCGCGCCUGAUUAGCUAGUUGGUGGGGUAACGGCCCACCAAGGCCAUGAUCAGUAACCGGCCUGAGAGGGUGAACGGUCACAUUGGAACUGAGACACGGUCCAAACUCCUACGGGAGGCAGCAGUGGGGAAUAUUGCACAAUGGAGGAAACUCUGAUGCAGCGACGCCGCGUGAGCGAUGAAGGCUUUCGAGUCGUAAAGCUCUGUCCUAUGGGAAGAUAAUGACGGUACCAGAGGAGGAAGCCCCGGCUAACUACGUG
This 480-nucleotide ribosomal RNA is filed under the name uncultured bacterium. Its description in RNAcentral is "partial 16S ribosomal RNA". It matches the Rfam family "Bacterial small subunit ribosomal RNA", at positions 28 to 507 of the family's 1533-position model. The record is from RNAcentral.